RNAcentral lists this non-coding RNA (59 nucleotides) under Actinophytocola sp. RNAcentral describes it as "Guanidine-II sequence". It matches the Rfam family "Guanidine-II riboswitch aptamer (mini-ykkC)". Rfam says of the family: Simpler in structure and has fewer highly conserved nucleotide positions than the ykkC-yxkD leader. Despite this each of its two stem-loop structures directly bind free guanidine. Lineage: Bacteria; Bacillati; Actinomycetota; Actinomycetes; Pseudonocardiales; Pseudonocardiaceae. The record is from RNAcentral.
CGGCGAGGACGAGCUCGACCUCGCCGGCGACCCGGCGAUCGGUCGCCGGGACGACCUGG